GAUUAAGUUAUUAAGGGCGCACGGUGGAUGCCUUGGCACUAGAAGCCGAUGAAGGACGUUACUAACGACGAUAUGCUUUGGGGAGCUGUAAGUAAGCUUUGAUCCAGAGAUUUCCGAAUGGGGAAACCCAGCAUGAGUUAUGUCAUGUUAUCGAUAUGUGAAUACAUAGCAUAUCAGAAGGCACACCCGGAGAACUGAAACAUCUUAGUACCCGGAGGAAGAGAAAGAAAAUUCGAUUCCCUUAGUAGCGGCGAGCGAAACGGGAAGAGCCCAAACCAACAAGCUUGCUUGUUGGGGUUGUAGGACACUCUAUACGGAGUUACAAAGGACGACAUUAGACGAAUCAUCUGGAAAGAUGAAUCAAAGAAGGUGAUAAUCCUGUAGUCGAAAAUGUUGUCUCUCUUGAGUGGAUCCUGAGUACGACGGAGCACGUGAAAUUCCGUCGGAAUCUGGGAGGACCAUCUCCUAAGGCUAAAUACUCUCUAGUGACCGAUAGUGAACCAGUACCGUGAGGGAAAGGUGAAAAGCACCCCGGAAGGGGAGUGAAAUAGAACCUGAAACCGUGUGCUUACAAGUAGUCAGAGCCCGUUAAUGGGUGAUGGCGUGCCUUUUGUAGAAUGAACCGGCGAGUUACGAUUUGAUGCAAGGUUAAGCAGUAAAUGUGGAGCCGUAGCGAAAGCGAGUCUGAAUAGGGCGUUUAGUAUUUGGUCGUAGACCCGAAACCAGGUGAUCUACCCUUGGUCAGGUUGAAGUUCAGGUAACACUGAAUGGAGGACCGAACCGACUUACGUUGAAAAGUGAGCGGAUGAACUGAGGGUAGCGGAGAAAUUCCAAUCGAACCUGGAGAUAGCUGGUUCUCUCCGAAAUAGCUUUAGGGCUAGCCUCAAGUGAUGAUUAUUGGAGGUAGAGCACUGUUUGGACGAGGGGCCCCUCUCGGGUUACCGAAUUCAGACAAACUCCGAAUGCCAAUUAAUUUAACUUGGGAGUCAGAACAUGGGUGAUAAGGUCCGUGUUCGAAAGGGAAACAGCCCAGACCACCAGCUAAGGUCCCAAAAUAUAUGUUAAGUGGAAAAGGAUGUGGCGUUGCCCAGACAACUAGGAUGUUGGCUUAGAAGCAGCCAUCAUUUAAAGAGUGCGUAAUAGCUCACUAGUCGAGUGACACUGCGCCGAAAAUGUACCGGGGCUAAACAUAUUACCGAAGCUGUGGAUUGUCCUUUGGACAAUGGUAGGAGAGCGUUCUAAGGGCGUUGAAGCAUGAUCGUAAGGACAUGUGGAGCGCUUAGAAGUGAGAAUGCCGGUGUGAGUAGCGAAAGACGGGUGAGAAUCCCGUCCACCGAUUGACUAAGGUUUCCAGAGGAAGGCUCGUCCGCUCUGGGUUAGUCGGGUCCUAAGCUGAGGCCGACAGGCGUAGGCGAUGGAUAACAGGUUGAUAUUCCUGUACCACCUAUAAUCGUUUUAAUCGAUGGGGGGACGCAGUAGGAUAGGCGAAGCGUGCGAUUGGAUUGCACGUCUAAGCAGUAAGGCUGAGUAUUAGGCAAAUCCGGUACUCGUUAAGGCUGAGCUGUGAUGGGGAGAAGACAUUGUGUCUUCGAGUCGUUGAUUUCACACUGCCGAGAAAAGCCUCUAGAUAGAAAAUAGGUGCCCGUACCGCAAACCGACACAGGUAGUCAAGAUGAGAAUUCUAAGGUGAGCGAGCGAACUCUCGUUAAGGAACUCGGCAAAAUGACCCCGUAACUUCGGGAGAAGGGGUGCUCUUUAGGGUUAACGCCCAGAAGAGCCGCAGUGAAUAGGCCCAAGCGACUGUUUAUCAAAAACACAGGUCUCUGCUAAACCGUAAGGUGAUGUAUAGGGGCUGACGCCUGCCCGGUGCUGGAAGGUUAAGAGGAGUGGUUAGCUUCUGCGAAGCUACGAAUCGAAGCCCCAGUAAACGGCGGCCGUAACUAUAACGGUCCUAAGGUAGCGAAAUUCCUUGUCGGGUAAGUUCCGACCCGCACGAAAGGCGUAACGAUUUGGGCACUGUCUCAACGAGAGACUCGGUGAAAUCAUAGUACCUGUGAAGAUGCAGGUUACCCGCGACAGGACGGAAAGACCCCGUGGAGCUUUAC
RNAcentral lists this ribosomal RNA (2105 nucleotides) under Staphylococcus aureus. RNAcentral describes it as "partial 23S ribosomal RNA". It matches the Rfam family "Bacterial large subunit ribosomal RNA", at positions 1 to 2104 of the family's 2925-position model. The record is from RNAcentral. Lineage: Bacteria; Bacillati; Bacillota; Bacilli; Caryophanales; Staphylococcaceae.